This 371-nucleotide long non-coding RNA is filed under the name Androctonus crassicauda. Lineage: Eukaryota; Metazoa; Arthropoda; Arachnida; Scorpiones; Buthidae. The record is from RNAcentral.
CUUAACAUCCUCUUCAGGCCGACAAAAAAACAUUCUAAAACGAAAUCGAAGACAAAUCAAAAAUAGAACAUCUUGUUUAAAUUCUAAGCGUGACCAUGGCGACCUUCAAUGUUUACGAUAUUCACAAUUAACUUCUCAAAAAUCUUCAGACGUUGCAUGGUCCUAUCCUUAAAAAUUCUGUUUGGAUCGAUAAAAAACACUAUUAGUCCUACUACCCUCGUUUUUUUCAUAUAUAUAAAGGUCCACCUUUUCCUCCAUUAUAUCUUCCUGGUUAGUACUUACACAAGCCCUCCUUCUUUUGCUAGGGAAUAUCUCCAGGCCAUAGAGGGUUCCCACACUAGCUUGUCGUUAACGAGUUCUUCCCUUCCUGC